ACGGGAGGCAGCAGUGGGGAAUAUUGCACAAUGGGGGAAACCCUGAUGCAGCGACGCCGCGUGAACGAAGAAGUAUUUCGGUAUGUAAAGUUCUAUCAGCAGGGAAGAAAAUGACGGUACCUGACUAAGAAGCCCCGGCUAACUACGUGCCAGCAGCCGCGGUAAUACGUAGGGGGCAAGCGUUAUCCGGAUUUACUGGGUGUAAAGGGAGCGUAGACGGUAGUGCAAGUCUGAAGUGAAAGCUCGCAGCUUAACUGCGGAACUGCUUUGGAAACUGUACAACUAGAGUACCGGAGGGGUAAGCGGAAUUCCUAGUGUAGCGGUGAAAUGCGUAGAUAUUAGGAGGAACAUCAGUGGCGAAGGCGGCUUACUGGGCUUUAACUGACGCUGAGGCUCGAAAGCGUGGGGAGCAAACAGGAUUAGAUACCCUGGUA
Molecule: ribosomal RNA, 434 nt
Filed under: uncultured Lachnospiraceae bacterium
Lineage: Bacteria; Bacillati; Bacillota; Clostridia; Lachnospirales; Lachnospiraceae
Description: partial 16S ribosomal RNA
Rfam family: Bacterial small subunit ribosomal RNA
Source: RNAcentral